RNAcentral lists this ribosomal RNA (447 nucleotides) under uncultured bacterium. Its description in RNAcentral is "bacterial SSU rRNA". It matches the Rfam family "Bacterial small subunit ribosomal RNA", at positions 329 to 793 of the family's 1533-position model. The record is from RNAcentral.
GGCCAGACUCCUACGGGAGGCAGCAGUGGGGGAUAUUGCACAAUGGGGGGAACCCUGAUGCAGCGACGCCGCGUGAACGAAGAAAUAUUUCGGUAUGUAAAGUUCUAUCAGCAGGGAAGAAAAUGACAGUACCUGACCAAGAAGCCCCGGCUAACUACGUGCCAGCAGCCGCGGUAAUACGUAGGGGGCAAGCGUUAUCCGGAUUUACUGGGUGUAAAGGGAGCGUAGACGGCAGCGCAAGUCUGGAGUGAAAUGCCGGGGCCCAACCCCGGAACUGCUUUGGAAACUGUGCAGCUGGAGUGCAGGAGAGGUAAGCGGAAUUCCUAGUGUAGCGGUGAAAUGCGUAGAUAUUAGGAGGAACACCAGUGGCGAAGGCGGCUUACUGGACUGUAACUGACGUUGAGGCUCGAAAGCGUGGGGAGCAAACAGGAUUAGAUACCCUAGUAU